CGGCCAGUACCAUCCGUCCGAGGCAAGGCUGAACCGCGGAACGGCCAUCAGUCCGUCCGUCCGUCCGUCCGUUCGACCCUCCGACCCGUGCCUACAACAUUUUGGUAUCAGAGCUGAAGUUUCCUGCGAAACUCAGUUCUUUCUGAACCUUAGCCGUCACAAUUCAAAAAAAUAUUUACUUUCCUUAUUUUUUUUCGGAUUGUUCUCCGAGUUUUCGAUUUUUCCAUUUAAAAAAAAAUAUAUUUACUUUCCUUAUUUUUAAAUUUUCGGAUUGUUCUCCAAGUUUUCAAAAAAAAAAAAAAUAUUCUCUCUUUCCUUUUCAAACCUGAUUCGAUUUUUUGUCGUAACUUUUUGCAUUUACUCUUAGCCUUGGUCGAUACUCAUAGUAUCCGACUCAAG
Molecule: long non-coding RNA, 399 nt
Filed under: Brassica rapa (field mustard)
Lineage: Eukaryota; Viridiplantae; Streptophyta; Magnoliopsida; Brassicales; Brassicaceae
Description: long non-coding RNA (BRAP_LNC008569)
Source: RNAcentral